UGGGGAAUAUUGCACAAUGGACGGAAGUUUGAUGCAGCGACGCCGCGUGGUGGGCGUAGGCCUUCGGGUUGUGAACUCCUUUUUCUCGCGAAAAAGGCACAGUUUUGGCUGUGCUGAUGGUAGUGGGGGAAGAAGCGCCGGCUAACUACGUGCCAGCAGCCGCGGUAAUACGUAGGGCGCGAGCGUUGUCCGGAUUUUUUGGGCGUAAAGAGCUCGUAGGUGGUUCGUCGCGUCUGUCGUGAAAGCCAGCAGCUUAACUGUUGGUCUGCGGUGGGUACGGGCGGGCUUGAGUGCGGUAGGGGUGACUGGAGUUCCUGGUGUAGCGGUGGAAAGCGCAGAUAUCAGGAGGAGCACCGAUGGCGAAGGCAGGUCACUGGGCCGUUACUGACACUGAGGAGCGAAAGCGUGGGGAGCGAACAGG
This 421-nucleotide ribosomal RNA is filed under the name Fusobacteriota bacterium. RNAcentral's name for it is "Fusobacteria bacterium partial 16S ribosomal RNA". It matches the Rfam family "Bacterial small subunit ribosomal RNA", at positions 355 to 776 of the family's 1533-position model. Lineage: Bacteria; Fusobacteriati; Fusobacteriota. The record is from RNAcentral.